This 1098-nucleotide ribosomal RNA is filed under the name Triticum aestivum (bread wheat). RNAcentral describes it as "partial small subunit ribosomal RNA". Lineage: Eukaryota; Viridiplantae; Streptophyta; Magnoliopsida; Poales; Poaceae. The record is from RNAcentral.
AUGCACCUCGAGUCAGAUGGUGCCUUGGAAAGCUUAGAACUUGCUGUUGCUAACAUGGCAGAAUUUGUUGUCCUUCUGAGUGGAUGUGAGCGCAUGUCUCGUAGGCCAUAUGAUGUUUAUCUUUACACCAACAACUUCAUGUUCAGCCGACAUGCUGAAAAGCAAAAACUAUUGAGCUUCUUGUUGGAGCACAACAAUCCUCCUGGUGAUCAUGCACCGACAGUUCUUCCAAUCAUAGGUGGUUUCGGAGUUGGAAAGAAAACAUUGGUUGCUCAUGUGUAUGCAGAUGAAAGGGUUCGCUCACGCUUCUCCUCUACAUUGCACUUGAAUGGAGACAACCUCUUGACAAUACUGGACCAUGGAGGGGCCAUGUUUGACAUGAUGUUGGUAGUUAUAGAGUUUUCUUCUGAUAUAAGUGACGACGAAUGGAAAAAGUUUCACUUGUUUCUCGUAAGAAUGAGUAGAGGAAGCAAGAUCAUCAUCGUAAGUAAACUGAAAAGAUUAGCCCGUUUUGGAUCAGUGCAACCUAUUUUCCUAAGUGUUUUGUCUUAUGAUGAGUUGAGGUAUCUUUUUAAGACCCUAGCAUUCGGGAGUGUAGACCCUGCAGAACAUCCACAACUAGUAUAAUUAACAGAUGAGUUUGCCAAGGAGUUAUAUGGUAAGCAAGGUUCACUUGUAGCAGUAAAUACGUUCGCCCAGGUGUUGAGAAUGAACCUCACUGUUCAGUUUUGGCGUUGCAUAUUUGGUAAGGGGAUAAGACAUGUUGAAAGAAACCUCUCCAUAUAUGGUGAGCACCCAAGCAAGCUUAAAGAACAAGGCCUUCCAGUCGACAUAACGGACUUUGCUUUGCAUCCACUUACCAUGACAAGUUAUACAAGUAAUGUUCCAAUCAAGGAGGAAUCACCAAGUGUGACAUUUGGAGAGCUUCUAGCAGAUCCUAGUGUUAGGCCAGAAGGAGAGUUCACUCUAAUUGAAUAUGAAUCAAGGAUCCCCCCUCAUAAAUCAUUUGUUCAUUUUGUUACAAGUCGAGCUCAGGAUACACAUGAAGGAAGUAGUAGUACCUUGCCAGGGAGGAAGCGACGGGGUGGGCCAAUCUAA